RNAcentral lists this ribosomal RNA (253 nucleotides) under uncultured bacterium. RNAcentral describes it as "partial 16S ribosomal RNA". It matches the Rfam family "Bacterial small subunit ribosomal RNA", at positions 524 to 776 of the family's 1533-position model. The record is from RNAcentral.
UACGUAGGGGGCAAGCGUUGUCCGGAAUCAUUGGGCGUAAAGAGCGCGUAGGCGGCCCUGUAAGUCCGCUGUGAAAGUCAAGGGCUCAACCCUUGAAUGCCGGUGGAUACUGCAGGGCUAGAGUCCGGAAGAGGCGAGUGGAAUUCCUGGUGUAGCGGUGAAAUGCGCAGAUAUCAGGAGGAAUACCGAUGGCGAAGGCAGGUCUCUGGGCUGACACUGACGCUCAUGCACGAAAGCGUGGGGAGCAAACAGG